RNAcentral lists this ribosomal RNA (209 nucleotides) under uncultured Dietzia sp. RNAcentral's name for it is "partial 16S ribosomal RNA". It matches the Rfam family "Bacterial small subunit ribosomal RNA", at positions 1182 to 1382 of the family's 1533-position model. The record is from RNAcentral. Lineage: Bacteria; Bacillati; Actinomycetota; Actinomycetes; Mycobacteriales; Dietziaceae.
ACGUCGAAAUCAUCAUGCCCCUUAUGUCCUAGGGCUUCGACACAUGCUACAAUGGCUAGUACAGAGGGCUGCCGAUACCGGCGAGGUGGAGCGAAUCCCUUAAAGCUGGUCUCAGUUCGGAUUGGGGUCUGCAACUCGACCCCAUGAAGUCGGAGUCGCUAGUAAUCGCAGAUCAGCAACGCUGCGGUGAAUACCGGUUCCCGGGCCUU